RNAcentral lists this ribosomal RNA (374 nucleotides) under Mesabolivar yuruani. RNAcentral's name for it is "partial 16S ribosomal RNA". Lineage: Eukaryota; Metazoa; Arthropoda; Arachnida; Araneae; Pholcidae. The record is from RNAcentral.
CUGUUUAUCAAAAACAUUUCUUAAAGACAUAAUUUUAAGUAAAACCUGCUCCAUGUUAAAUAAAUAGCCGCAGCCCGCUGUGCUAAGGUAGCAUAAUAAUUAGCUUUUUAAUUAAAAGAUAGAAUGAACGGUUAAACGAAAUUCUAAUUGUUUCAUUACUUAAGAAAAAUAAAAUUAAAAUAAAAGUCAAAAUUCUUUUAAAGAUCAGAAAGACGAUAAGACCCUAAAAACUUUAUAUUUAGCUGGGGCGGCUAAAAAAUAAACACUUAACCACUUAAUACCACAAACCAAAAAAUAAUUUUCAAGAACAGUUACUUUAGGGAUAACAGCGCUACUUUUUUUAAAAGCCCUUAUACAAAAAAAUCCUACGACCU